GCCGGGGUGCCCGAGUGGUUAAGGGAGUGGCCUUGAGAGCCACCGUCCUACGGGACUCGCGGGUUCGAAUCCCGUCCCCGGCG
This 83-nucleotide transfer RNA is filed under the name Candidatus Marsarchaeota G2 archaeon OSP_D. RNAcentral describes it as "tRNA-Ser". It matches the Rfam family "tRNA". From Rfam's summary of the family: Transfer RNA (tRNA) molecules are approximately 80 nucleotides in length. Their secondary structure includes four short double-helical elements and three loops (D, anti-codon, and T loops). Further hydrogen bonds mediate the characteristic L-shaped molecular structure. tRNAs have two regions of fundamental functional importance: the anti-codon, which is responsible for specific mRNA codon recognition, and the 3' end, to which the tRNAs corresponding amino acid is attached (by aminoacyl-tRNA synthetases). tRNAs cope with the degeneracy of the genetic code in two manners: having more than one tRNA (with a specific anti-codon) for a particular amino acid; and 'wobble' base-pairing, i.e. permitting non-standard base-pairing at the 3rd anti-codon position. Lineage: Archaea; Thermoproteati; Thermoproteota. The record is from RNAcentral. RNAcentral also lists the same sequence under 6 other names.